This 460-nucleotide ribosomal RNA is filed under the name uncultured bacterium. Its description in RNAcentral is "partial 16S ribosomal RNA". It matches the Rfam family "Bacterial small subunit ribosomal RNA", at positions 338 to 795 of the family's 1533-position model. The record is from RNAcentral.
CCUACGGGAGGCAGCAGUGAGGAAUAUUGGUCAAUGGGCGGAAGCCUGAACCAGCCAAGUAGCGUGCAGGAUGACGGCCCUACGGGUUGUAAACUGCUUUUAUACGGGAAUAACGCGCCUUACGUGUAGGGCUUUGCAUGUACCGUAUGAAUAAGGACCGGCUAAUUCCGUGCCAGCAGCCGCGGUAAUACGGAAGGUCCGGGCGUUAUCCGGAUUUAUUGGGUUUAAAGGGAGCGUAGGCCGCAUGUCAAGCGUGCUGUGAAAUGUCCGGGCUCAACCCGGGCCUUGCAGCGCGAACUGGCGAGCUUGAGUGCGCUGAAAGCAGGCGGAAUUCGUCGUGUAGCGGUGAAAUGCUUAGAUAUGACGAAGAACCCCGAUUGCGAAGGCAGCUUGCUGCAGCGGAACUGACGCUGAUGCUCGAAAGCGCGGGUAUCGAACAGGAUUAGAUACCCCUGUAGUC